CGUAGGGCGCAAGCGUUGUCCGGAAUUAUUGGGCGUAAAGAGCUCGUAGGCGGUUUGUCGCGUCUGCUGUGAAAACCUAAGGCUCAACCUUGGGCUUGCAGUGGGUACGGGCAGACUAGAGUGCGGUAGGGGUGACUGGAAUUCCUGGUGUAGCGGUGGAAUGCGCAGAUAUCAGGAGGAACACCGAUGGCGAAGGCAGGUCACUGGGCCGCAACUGACGCUGAGGAGCGAAAGCAUGGGGAGCGAACAGG
RNAcentral lists this ribosomal RNA (251 nucleotides) under uncultured bacterium. RNAcentral describes it as "partial 16S ribosomal RNA". It matches the Rfam family "Bacterial small subunit ribosomal RNA", at positions 526 to 776 of the family's 1533-position model. The record is from RNAcentral.